AUGGCCGACCGCCUCGUCCUGCUCGUCCUCGUCAUCGCCGCCGCAUCCCUCACCGUAGCCUCCCCAGUCGCCGCGGCGCGUCCCUGCAACACCCUCUUCAUCUCCUCCCACUCAGCCAACGCUAACCCCAGCAACGACCCCGACCACCGCUCCCCCCUCACCACGACGGUCGUCACCGUCUUCCGCAUCCGCCGCUUCGGCCCCCAUUUCCUCCGCACCCAAGGACACGCGCAUCCCCACCUCAACCACCACCACCACCACCUACACUCCAUCCCCGCCAACAUCCAGAUCCGCCGCCCCGAGCUCCCAGAGCUUCCCCACUCUGCGACCGGCGUUGCCGUGAGCAUCCAGGAGCGCGUCAAGGACAUCCUGGUGGUCCUCGUCGGGAUCCUCUUCGGUAUCGGCUGCGGCGCGCUCACUGCUGCCUCCAUGUACCUCAUUUGGUCCGUAAUCGCCGGCCCCGGCGCGUCCUCCCACUACGACGAGCUCUACGGCGACGAGGCGUCCGACUCCGAGAGCCCCAAGAAGGUCGGCUAUGUCAUCAUCCCCGGCGUCGAGGCCUACGACGGUGGUAAGAACUAA
Molecule: ribosomal RNA, 582 nt
Filed under: Triticum aestivum (bread wheat)
Lineage: Eukaryota; Viridiplantae; Streptophyta; Magnoliopsida; Poales; Poaceae
Description: partial small subunit ribosomal RNA
Source: RNAcentral